CUGCCAUUAGCUCAGUUGGAUAGAGCCUCCGUCUUCUAAGCGGAUAGUCGUGGGUUCGAGCCCUAUAUGGCGCGCUA
RNAcentral lists this transfer RNA (77 nucleotides) under Acinetobacter sp. ANC 4910. Its description in RNAcentral is "tRNA-Arg". It matches the Rfam family "tRNA". From Rfam's summary of the family: Transfer RNA (tRNA) molecules are approximately 80 nucleotides in length. Their secondary structure includes four short double-helical elements and three loops (D, anti-codon, and T loops). Further hydrogen bonds mediate the characteristic L-shaped molecular structure. tRNAs have two regions of fundamental functional importance: the anti-codon, which is responsible for specific mRNA codon recognition, and the 3' end, to which the tRNAs corresponding amino acid is attached (by aminoacyl-tRNA synthetases). tRNAs cope with the degeneracy of the genetic code in two manners: having more than one tRNA (with a specific anti-codon) for a particular amino acid; and 'wobble' base-pairing, i.e. permitting non-standard base-pairing at the 3rd anti-codon position. The record is from RNAcentral. Lineage: Bacteria; Pseudomonadati; Pseudomonadota; Gammaproteobacteria; Moraxellales; Moraxellaceae.